This 654-nucleotide ribosomal RNA is filed under the name Triticum aestivum (bread wheat). RNAcentral describes it as "partial small subunit ribosomal RNA". Lineage: Eukaryota; Viridiplantae; Streptophyta; Magnoliopsida; Poales; Poaceae. The record is from RNAcentral.
AUGAAUGAUACUCAUGAUGAUGCUAGUACCUUGCUUGAUGAUGAUGUGCCACUAGGUGAAUUUCUUGAUGAACAAACUGCUAGAGUAAGACAACAUGAUAUUGUUGAAUCUGAUGAUGAACUUGAAACUGAAAAUCUUGAAACACCUACUAGAACUAGUCCUCCUAGAUAUGAAUCUCCAAAGGUACCGGAAGGUUAUACUAUGAGUGAGAAGGCAACUAGAGAUGUUCUUGCUUGUAAGGAUAAAGAUGAUCAAGAGAAAUUAUUAUGCAAGUAUAAAGAAAGAUCUCUGAACGCUAAAAUGAAAUGUGAUCCUGAGUUUGCUACUUCACCUAUUGUUAUUGAUCAUAAGGAUUAUGAAUUCUCUGUCGACCCAGAGUUAAUUACUUUGGUUGAAUCUGAUCCUUUCCAUGGUUAUGAAACUAAAACUGUUGUGGCACAUCUUACUAAGUUGAAUGAUAUAGAUACCCUUUUUGCUCAUGAUAAGAAGAUUUGCUAUUACUAUAUUCUCAAGUUAUUUCCGUUCUCAUUAAAGGGUGAUGCUAAAGCUUGGCACAAUACUAUUGCUCCUGGUUGUGUGCGUAGUCCCCAGGAUAUGAUUUAUUACCUCUUUGAAAAGUAUUUCCCUGCUCAUAAGAAACAAGCUGCCUUGUAG